This 468-nucleotide ribosomal RNA is filed under the name uncultured bacterium. Its description in RNAcentral is "partial 16S ribosomal RNA". It matches the Rfam family "Bacterial small subunit ribosomal RNA", at positions 28 to 507 of the family's 1533-position model. The record is from RNAcentral.
GACGAACGCUGGCGGCGUGCUUAACACAUGCAAGUCGAACGGAAAGGCCCUGCUUUUGUGGGGUGCUCGAGUGGCGAACGGGUGAUUAACACGUGAGUAACCUGCCCUUGACUUUGGGAUAACUUCAGGAAACUUGGGCUAAUACCUGAUAGGAGCUCCUGCUGCAUGGUGGGGGUUGGAAAGUUUCGGCGGUUGGGGAUGGACUCGCGGCUUAUCAGCUUGUUGGUGGGGUAGUGGCUUACCAAGGCUUUGACGGGUAGCCGGCCUGAGAGGGUGACCGGCCACAUUGGGACUGAGAUACGGCCCAGACUCCUACGGGGGGCAGCAGUGGGGAAUAUUGCACAAUGGGCGGAAGCCUGAUGCAGCAACGCCGCGUGCGGGAUGACGGCCUUCGGGUUGUAAACCGCUAUCGCCUGUGACGAAGCGUGAGUGACGGUAAUGGGUAAAGAAGCACCGGCUAACUACGUG